UUCUCUAUUCGCUGCCAGAGCGGUAUCAAGAGCUAUCUUUAGCUUUGAGCUGCAGGAAGCCUUUUCAAUCGCGACUUAUUAAAAAAAAACAAAAGAACUGGGAUGUUAUAAAUCAGGAACAAAAACAAAGUUGCUGGAAAAGCUCAGCAGGUCUGGCAGCAUCUGUGAAGGUAAAAAGACAGAGUUAACGUUUCGGGUGCAGUGCCCCUUCCUCAGAGCGACUUAUUAAAACCCCAGGAUCGCUAAUGUAACAAUCUUUCUCAUCCAGUUCUCAGUCUCAUUUGUCUCAAAAUGCAACAUUGUGAUGACCAUCAUUAGCUUCUCACAAUGACAACAUGAAGCACUGCGCAUGCUCCAGAUCACAAUGGCAUCUGGGUGAUUGAUGUCAGCGAGGGGCCAAUAGGGCUGCCGUGCAUGACCGGUGGAUGUCGCUGCCAUUCUAACCAAUCAGAAUGAGGAGGGGGGCGGGAUCGGUGAAAACCACAUGAUCAUUCACGAGAGCAGCGCAGAGUUGCUCAGAUAAUUUGAACCGCAGAUGCUGGAGAAUCCGAGAUAACAUGGUGUAGAGCUGGAUGAACACAGCAGGUCAAGCAGCAUCAGAGGAGCAGGAAAGCUGACGUUUUGGGCCUAGAUCCUUCGCUGAGUCCAAGAUUUGUGCAAUUGAGCUGCACCCCCAUUUACUGCCUACUAACCUCAUCCCACCCCCCUGACCUAUCUGUCCUCCCUAAACUGACCUAUCACCUCACUACCUCCCCACCUAUACUCACCUUUACCUGCUCCAUGCUGGCAUCUUUGACUUGUCCGUCUCCUCUCCACAUAUCUUCUCUCUCCAUCUUCGAUCUGUCUCCCUAUUUAGUUCACAACCCAAUUAUCUCAGGAUUUUGAACGUUGAAGGAGAAAGCAGCACUCACACUUUGGACAAAUGCAAAUGGUUUGUGUGUAAAAGAGUCUGAAGAUUCAUCUGAAAUGUUCUAACACCAUCGCAGUGACACUUGGGAGACACUGUGGAAAUGGGCAGAUUGCAAGAAGGAAUUUCUUCAUCCAUCCCAGCUGGAAACUGACCACCAGAGUCACACUGGAGAGAAACCAUUCACCCGCUCUGAUUGUGGUAUGGGAUUCACUCAGUCAUCUAACCUGUUUAAACACCAGGGAGUUCACACUGGAGAGAAACCAUUCACUUGCUUGGAAUGUGCGAAAGCAUUCACUCAGACAACUCACCUACUGAUACACCAGCAAAUUCACACUGGAGAGAGACCAAUUGGCCUGUUCUGUGUGUGGGAAAGUUUUUCUGACUCGAAUUCCCCUCUGACACACCAGCGAUUUCACUCUGGGGAGAGACCAUUCGUGAGCUCUGAGUGUGGGAAAGCAUUCACUCAGUCAUCCAAACUGUCACAAAGAACCACAGUUGAAGGAUUUUGCUAUCACGCUCACGAUCAAAUGAACUAUAGUUUUUGGCUGUUUGUACUGAUGUUACUAAUCUCUGCUCAAUUAAAGGUGCUGAUGUUGUGAAUGAAA
Stegostoma tigrinum is the source of this 1515-nucleotide long non-coding RNA. RefSeq lists it as uncharacterized. NCBI's taxonomy places the organism in Eukaryota, Metazoa, Chordata, Chondrichthyes, Orectolobiformes, Stegostomatidae. The record is from RefSeq and is a predicted model, not a curated record. The transcript is spliced from 2 exons.